GACACGUUCCUUAGAUCCACCUCUGGGGGGUCUUCCAGCUCUGGUACUGCACCCUCUGUCUGAGUGCUGCAGUUUCAGUCUGGUGGCUCCCAGCAGCUUUUUUGGCUGUACGGUUGGGGGUGCUUGAGUCAUUGGCGUGUGAGAGCAGUCUACCUGCUUUUCCAGCUCAAUCACUGCCCUGGCACCUCUUUGGACUUUACUAGGGCAGAGAAGCUGGGGGGCGGACAAG
Molecule: small nucleolar RNA, 229 nt
Organism: Pygocentrus nattereri (red-bellied piranha)
Lineage: Eukaryota; Metazoa; Chordata; Actinopteri; Characiformes; Serrasalmidae
Product: Small nucleolar RNA SNORA53
Source: Ensembl